Molecule: ribosomal RNA, 253 nt
Filed under: uncultured bacterium
Lineage: Bacteria
Description: partial 16S ribosomal RNA
Rfam family: Bacterial small subunit ribosomal RNA
Source: RNAcentral
UACAGAGGUCUCAAGCGUUGUUCGGAUUCAUUGGGCGUAAAGGGUGCGUAGGUGGCGCUGUAAGUCGGGCGUGAAAUUUCGGAGCUUAACUCCGAAACUGCAUUCGAUACUGCGGUGCUUGAGGACUGGAGAGGAGACUGGAAUUCAUGGUGUAGCAGUGAAAUGCGCAGAUAUCAGGAAGAACACCCGUGGCGAAGGCGGCUCUCUGGGACGGUACUGACGCUGAGACGCGAAAGCGUGGGGAGCGAACAGG